RNAcentral lists this ribosomal RNA (433 nucleotides) under uncultured bacterium. Its description in RNAcentral is "bacterial SSU rRNA". It matches the Rfam family "Bacterial small subunit ribosomal RNA", at positions 108 to 537 of the family's 1533-position model. The record is from RNAcentral.
UAGUAAUGCCUAGGAAUCUGCCUGUUAGUGGGGGAUAACGUUCCGAAAGGAACGCUAAUACCGCAUACGUCCUACGGGAGAAAGUGGGGGAUCUUCGGACCUCACGCUAACAGAUGAGCCUAGGUCGGAUUAGCUAGUAGGUGAGGUAAUGGCUCACCUAGGCUACGAUCCGUAACUGGUCUGAGAGGAUGAUCAGUCACACUGGAACUGAGACACGGUCCAGACUCCUACGGGAGGCAGCAGUGGGGAAUAUUGGACAAUGGGCGAAAGCCUGAUCCAGCCAUGCCGCGUGUGUGAAGAAGGUCUUCGGAUUGUAAAGCACUUUAAGUUGGGAGGAAGGUCUGUAAGUUAAUAUCUUGCAGCUUUGACGUUACCAACAGAAUAAGCACCGGCUAACUCUGUGCCAGCAGCCGCGGUAAUACAGAGGGUGCAA